Odontomachus brunneus is the source of this 1135-nucleotide RNA transcript. RefSeq lists it as uncharacterized. Lineage: Eukaryota; Metazoa; Arthropoda; Insecta; Hymenoptera; Formicidae. The record is from RefSeq and is a predicted model, not a curated record. The transcript is spliced from 2 exons.
GCGGCCGGGCACCGUCGAAAAAUGCCGUCGUGGUCUCGCCAAGUGAGUCGUAGUUGAGUCGCGAAUUAUACUCGUAGAUGAUCAUCGAAUCCUCACACUGGAGGUCACCCUCUGCGACGUCCAUGCUCUCUUAAAAGCCAAGAUCUGAACUCGACGAGAUUAUGCCGGCUUCGAGUCCGGCGUACGCCAAGGGAUUUAUCGAAGGGCCUAGGGACCGGUGGGGACGGAUGGUGGGUGAUAUCACGGUACAAUGCUCGUGCUUGCUAAGUUCCCGACACAACGAACAACGAGAGAUAGGCCUUGGUGCUGGUGCAGUUGAUUGCUCGAGAUUUCGCCGAAAGGUCGCGAAGUUUCCUCACGAAGGCGUAGGAGGAGAUGAAUGAAAGAGAAAGACGGGAAGGUGAGGAUGGUGCUUGCGAUCUCUGUGACAGAAUGAGAAAAAGUAAGAAAGAAAGACAGACAGAGAGACAGAAAGACGAAAGAACGAGAUGGACGAAGAUGUGCUCUGUUUGUGGGUGAUUGUCGGCGUGCUUGUUCGCUCGCCUGUUCCGUCCGACUCGUGUGCGGAAGUGCCACUCGUGGAGUGCCACGGAUCCGUCAGUUUUUCGUCCCGUCGAAACCCUCCCUCCCUCCCUCCCCGGCUUCGAGUGCCACUCAAGCUACAUAGACUCCGUCUAAGUCCUAAAGUCUAACAGGCAUGGACACGAGAGUGCAAAGGGGCCGGUAACGAGACUGCGAAUGCGACGUUGUUCGUGAAAAACGUUCAUUACGCACGCCCACGAACGCGAUUACGGACACACUCGCGCCGAUCGCUCCGUACCACGCCGCAAUUGAAUUCCUUAUCUUCUCUUUGCCUCGUAGUAUACACAUUUUUAUGCACAGAGGAUUUUCAAUAAAACGCGUCAACGCGUCUCCUUUCUCCAAUUCGGCCGAAAAUCAUUCGAGCCAUUGCUUUCUACUUGCGACUCUUUGGCUCCCCGACGCCUCGGACAUUUUCUCGGAAUUGCGCGACCAUGGAAGAGUCGCGCGGGGGUGAAAUUUCACGGUUAGCACAAGCUGCGCGUAUAGCGAGAGGGCGCCGCCACUGUGAACGCGACGCACGAAAGUGGGUCAAAAAGCGCGAAAGACGGCAAGC